CAGCCGCCACGGUAAUACGUAGGGUGCGAGCGUUAAUCGGAAUUACUAGGCGUAAAGCGUGCGCAGGCGGUUAUAUAAGACAGAUGUGAAAUCCCCGGGCUCAACCUGGGACCUGCAUUUGUGACUGUAUAGCUAGAGUACGGUAGAGGGGGAUGGAAUUCCGCGUGUAGCAGUGAAAUGCGUAGAUAUGCGGAGGAACACCGAUGGCGAAGGCAAUCCCCUGGACCUGUACUGACGCUCAUGCACGAAAGCGUGGGGAGCAAACAGGAUUAGAUACCCCUGUAGUCCCUGUCUCUUAUAC
This 301-nucleotide ribosomal RNA is filed under the name uncultured bacterium. RNAcentral describes it as "partial 16S ribosomal RNA". It matches the Rfam family "Bacterial small subunit ribosomal RNA", at positions 509 to 807 of the family's 1533-position model. The record is from RNAcentral.